UCUUUUAGUAAAUUAUUAUAAGUCUGGUCUGCUCACUGAAAAAUUUAAAGAGCCGCAGUAUCAUGACUGUGCAAAGGUAGCAUAAUCAAUAGUCUUUUAAUUGAAGACUUGUAUGAAAGAUUGAAUGAAAAAAUAGUUUUCUUUGUUUAAUAUGUAGAAUUUAUAAUUUAAGUGAAAAUUCUUAAAUUAUUUAAAAAGACGAGAAGACCCUAUAGAUUUUAAUUAAUUUAUAAUUAAAUAAAUUUUUAUUAUAGAAAAUUAAUUUGGUUGGGGUGACGGUGUAAUAUACAGAACUUAAUUUUAAUAAACCAUGAAUUAAUGAAUUUUUAGAUUAAAAUUUUUUGGAUAAAGAUUAAAUUACCUUAGGGAUAACAGCGUAAUUUUAUUUAUGAGUUCCUAUCUAUAAUAAAGCUUACGACCUCGAUGUUGAAUUAAGAUAAAAAAGUGGAGCAGUUCCUACUUUUACUAGUCUGUUCGACUAUUAAAUUC
RNAcentral lists this ribosomal RNA (489 nucleotides) under Ophiodopelma glyptocephalum. RNAcentral's name for it is "partial 16S ribosomal RNA". Lineage: Eukaryota; Metazoa; Arthropoda; Insecta; Psocodea; Pseudocaeciliidae. The record is from RNAcentral.